GUGGGGAAUCUUGCGCAAUGGCCUAACGGCUGACGCAGCGACGCCGCGUGUGGGAUGAAGCUCUUCGGAGUGUAAACCACUGUUGCCCGGGACGAAUAGCUCGAUUAAUCGAGCCUGACAGUACCGGGUGAGGAAGCACCGGCUAACUCCGUGCCAGCAGCCGCGGUAAUACGGGGGGUGCGAGCGUUGUCCGGAAUCACUGGGCGUAAAGGGCGCGUAGGUGGUUUGAUAAGGGUGUGGUGAAAGUCCGGGGCUCAACCCCGGAUCUGCCGUGCCGACUGUCAAACUCGAGGACUGUAGAGGCAGACGGAAUUCCGGGUGUAGCGGUGGAAUGCGUAGAGAUCCGGAGGAAGACCGGUGGCGAAGGCGGUCUGCUGGGCAGUUUCUGACACUGAGGCGCGACAGCGUGGGGAGCAAACAGGAUUAGAUACCCUUGUAGUCC
Molecule: ribosomal RNA, 442 nt
Filed under: uncultured bacterium
Lineage: Bacteria
Description: bacterial SSU rRNA
Rfam family: Bacterial small subunit ribosomal RNA
Source: RNAcentral